AUUGAACGCUGGCAGCAGGCUUAACACAUGCAAGUCGAGCGGAGUGAUGGUGCUUGCACUAUCACUUAGCGGCGGACGGGUGAGUAAUGCUUAGGAAUCUGCCUAUUAGUGGGGGACAACAUCUCGAAAGGGAUGCUAAUACCGCAUACGUCCUACGGGAGAAAGCAGGGGAUCGCUUGUGACCUUGCGCUAAUAGAUGAGCCUAAGUCGGAUUAGCUAGUUGGUGGGGUAAAGGCCUACCAAGGCGACGAUCUGUAGCGGGUCUGAGAGGAUGAUCCGCCACACUGGGACUGAGACACGGCCCAGACUCCUACGGGAGGCAGCAGUGGGGAAUAUUGGACAAUGGGGGGAACCCUGAUCCAGCCAUGCCGCGUGUGUGAAGAAGGCCCUAUGGUUGUAAAGCACUUUAAGCGAGGAGGAGGCUCUUUUGGUUAAUACCCAAGAUGAGUGGACGUUACUCGCAGAAUAAGCACCGGCUAACUCUGUGCCAGCCGCCGCGGUAA
RNAcentral lists this ribosomal RNA (503 nucleotides) under uncultured bacterium. RNAcentral describes it as "partial 16S ribosomal RNA". It matches the Rfam family "Bacterial small subunit ribosomal RNA", at positions 30 to 523 of the family's 1533-position model. The record is from RNAcentral.